AAAAUCUAUAUAUACAUUUUUGCAGCCAUUUUAGCAAAUAAAUCUUAGAGUUGGACUUAUUUACAACCAACUGCCAUUAGCAUUAA
Molecule: small RNA, 86 nt
Filed under: Arabidopsis thaliana (thale cress)
Lineage: Eukaryota; Viridiplantae; Streptophyta; Magnoliopsida; Brassicales; Brassicaceae
Description: ATSL101630
Source: RNAcentral